Molecule: long non-coding RNA, 1112 nt
Organism: Herpailurus yagouaroundi (jaguarundi)
Lineage: Eukaryota; Metazoa; Chordata; Mammalia; Carnivora; Felidae
Exons: 2
Source: RefSeq, a predicted model, not a curated record
UUUGUAUUUCCCUGCUGAUCAGUAUUUUUUUCCCUUUAACUCAGCUGAUAUGUCAGUAGUAUUCUGAAAGGUCUUGGAGAUGUGUUUGUUCAUGUGUUGUGUUUUAUUGCCAGCAUUCUUGAUGCCUGGGCUUAACUUUCAUUGUUGGGAAACUUCCGUGAUAAUAGUCAAUAUUCCUCAGCUACUGAGGACCUGACAUGCUGGGGACCAGGAAGCGGAAAGAGAAAAAAGGUCCAGAUUGUCACCCAGGAAGGUCUGGAAACACGAAGAAACUCAAGAUGCUCCUUUCAAUUGAGGGAGGAUCCCGUCUAACGCCUUGGACGUGAGUUGGCACGAACCAAACCCGCACAGAACAAUCCCCAUGCCCUCUGUGCUCAAGGAGACCCGGAGAACCUGGUAAGUGUGGGCUGAGUGCAGGUGAGUGUGCCCGUGGCCUCUGUGUGCUCGCCAUGCACCAUCAAUGAAUCACAAAUCAAAUAAAACGUGUGCAUCGACUCUCUCCGUCUCCACCAGAGCCCUGGCCAGGAAGAUGCUUUUAUGGCCAUUGUUUUUUUAACGACAACAUCGAGGCACAUGAUAUGUAUAUUAGCUAUUAUUUACAUAUAUUGUAUAUUUUCAUAUAUUACGCAUGACCUCAUGUGCAAGGGCUUGGAUACGCGUACAGACAGCGGCAGAGGCGGGCAGAAGACAGAACUGGUGUCCACAACAUGCUCGUGAGCUGUCGGAAAACCCGCACGGCUCAGAAUUGUGGAAUCGGAAGAACCUUCCUUCCAGGCAGGAAAGUGCUUUGCCCGGAAUUGUUGUCGGCUUCUCCCUGCAAGUGGCUGUGGCUCUCACAGCCCUGGUGUCUGCGUCCCAGAUUUCCCCCGAGAACUCAGAGUCUAGGGCUUGGUCAUUACAGCACAUCACAGCAGAAGUUCCCUAGGGGUUGGCUGUGCUAACGUCACGCACUGUGUCCCCCACCAGACCCCCGCAGGGCUGCCCUCAGCCCCCUCAGAGAUAGCAGGUGGCCACAUGGCAGGCUCCGCAUUCGAAUCUCCGUAUCCUCUGUGCAUUGACAGGCAGAGGACAUAUAAAGAAUAAAAAGGCACUUUCCAAAAAAAAAAAAAAAA